AACGAACGCUGGCGGCAUGCCUAACACAUGCCAGUCGAACGAGACCUUCGGGUCUAGUGGCGCACGGGUGCGUAACGCGUGGGAACCUGCCCUUAGGUUCGGAAUAACUCCCCGAAAGGGGUGCUAAUACCGGAUAAUGUCUUCGGACCAAAGAUUUAUCGCCUUUGGAUGGGCCUGCGUUGGAUUAGCUAGUUGGUAGGGUAAAAGCCUACCAAGGCGACGAUCCAUAGCUGGUCUGAGAGGAUGAUCAGCCACACUGGGACUGAGACACGGCCCAGACUCCUACGGGAGGCAGCAGUGGGGAAUAUUGGACAAUGGGCGAAAGCCUGAUCCAGCAAUGCCGCGUGAGUGAUGAAGGCCUUAGGGUUGUAAAGCUCUUUUACCCGGGAUGAUAAUGACAGUACCGGGAGAAUAAGCUCCGGCUAACUCCGUG
Molecule: ribosomal RNA, 433 nt
Filed under: uncultured bacterium
Lineage: Bacteria
Description: partial 16S ribosomal RNA
Rfam family: Bacterial small subunit ribosomal RNA
Source: RNAcentral